RNAcentral lists this ribosomal RNA (367 nucleotides) under uncultured bacterium. RNAcentral describes it as "bacterial SSU rRNA". It matches the Rfam family "Bacterial small subunit ribosomal RNA", at positions 527 to 896 of the family's 1533-position model. The record is from RNAcentral.
GGAGGGUGCAAGCGUUAUCCGGAUUUACUGGGUUUAAAGGGUGCGUAGGUGGGUAAGUAAGUCAGUGGUGAAAUCUUCGAGCUUAACUCGGAAACUGCCAUUGAUACUAUUUAUCUUGAAUACUUUGGAGGUAAGCGGAAUAUGUCAUGUAGCGGUGAAAUGCUUAGAUAUGACAUAGAACACCAAUUGCGAAGGCAGCUUACUACACAGUUAUUGACACUGAGGCACGAAAGCGUGGGGAUCAAACAGGAUUAGAUACCCUGGUAGUCCACGCCCUAAACGAUGGAUACUCGACAUUAGCGAUACACAGUUAGUGUCUGAGCGAAAGCAUUAAGUAUCCCACCUGGGAAGUACGAUCGCAAGAUUG